Molecule: long non-coding RNA, 323 nt
Organism: Terrapene triunguis (Three-toed box turtle)
Lineage: Eukaryota; Metazoa; Chordata; Testudines; Emydidae
Exons: 3
Source: RefSeq, a predicted model, not a curated record
GAACAGUAGAAAAUCACAGACAGAGCUGAAGACCCUGAGAGAACGUAUUAUAGCUUCUGAAGAAGGAAUUAGGGAUUACAAUUUAAAGACCAUGAAAAUGGCAUAGCCAAACUGGAAGGAGAGAUUGGCCAGACACAGGACAAAUAUCCCUGUGCACGGGAGAAGCUGUUGGAAGAGCAGUCUCGGCUCAAAAUUCUCCAGCUGAACUUGGCUGCAGCAUAAAAACAGAUAAAACACCACAUUGCUCAGGAGUCUGCUGGGACCUUGUGCUGAUUUCUCACUCUGCUUCCUGCUAUGCUGCUGCCAGAAGGGGACCAAUAAUG